Molecule: long non-coding RNA, 342 nt
Filed under: Mytilus galloprovincialis (Mediterranean mussel)
Lineage: Eukaryota; Metazoa; Mollusca; Bivalvia; Mytilida; Mytilidae
Source: RNAcentral
CUUGUAAUAAUUAUCCAUACAUUAUUUAAAACUUGAAACUCUUUCUAAACUUACACUUAUUGCCAUGAGUAAUUGUUUUUAAAAUUCAAAAUAAACCACAAUAAUGUUCCAUUUCUAGCUUACCUGGCCAAGUGAGCAUUGUCAUCUUUUGGCUUCAGUCGUCUGUCGUUGUUAAAGUUUACAAAAAUAUUCUUCUCUGAAAUUAGUGGCAAAUUUAACCAAACUUGGCCACAUUAAUUUAUAUUAUGUUUAGAAGCUGUUGAAGAAUUUGUGACACAUAUUCUAAUUUACCCUUUUGUGAUAGAUAUUCCUUCAAAGUCCAAUGGUAUUUCAGCCUCAAAC